Molecule: ribosomal RNA, 467 nt
Filed under: uncultured bacterium
Lineage: Bacteria
Description: partial 16S ribosomal RNA
Rfam family: Bacterial small subunit ribosomal RNA
Source: RNAcentral
ACGAACGCUGGCGGCGUGCUUAACACAUGCAAGUCGAACGGAAAGGCCCUGCUUUUGUGGGGUGCUCGAGUGGCGAACGGGUGAGUAUCACGUGAGUAACCUGCCCUUGACUUUGGGAUAACUUCAGGAAACUGGGGCUAAUACCGGAUAGGAGCUCCUGCUGCAUGGUGGGGGUUGGAAAGUUUCGGCGGUUGGGGAUGGACUCGCGGCUUAUCAGCUUGUUGGUGGGGUAGUGGCUUACCAAGGCUUUGACGGGUAGCCGGCCUGAGAGGGUGACCGGCCACAUUGGGACUGAGAUACGGCCCAGACUCCUACGGGAGGCAGCAGUGGGGAAUAUUGCACAAUGGGCGGAAGCCUGAUGCAGCAACGCCGCGUGCGGGAUGACGGCCUUCGGGUUGUAAACCGCUUUCGCCUGUGACGAAGCGUGAGUGACGGUAAUGGGUAAAGAAGCACCGGCUAACUACGUG